Molecule: long non-coding RNA, 1217 nt
Filed under: Callithrix jacchus (white-tufted-ear marmoset)
Lineage: Eukaryota; Metazoa; Chordata; Mammalia; Primates; Cebidae
Description: lncRNA (ENSCJAG00000060056.2)
Source: RNAcentral
UCAUUUAAUUUUGCGGAAGAUCAGUUCUCUUAUUUGUAACAGGGGAGGGGGUGGUGAUGGUAGGAUUGGAUAUAGGUCUUCAGUCUAUAAACUGAUAGAAAGUUUAUAAAAGACAAAAUAAAGCAACAAAGAAUAAGAAACAAAGCAUCAAUCGUUUCAGUUCACAUUUUAUUUUCUUUACAUCAAUUCUUGGAUCACCCAUAGGAGGCAGAAGCUGUUUUUGACCCUUUUACUUUUAGUUGAGAGCUGAUUCUUAUCUCAGCCUGUAGGCCCUUGAGAAGCCUCAGAAUUUCAGCUUAAGGUAGUGAUGGAGGGACGACAUUCCUUCUAAAUUACAGGCACACAGAAUUAAAAACACAUCACUCUUCUGACACUGGAUCCUCCAGCCUGUGCUCCACGGGAAGACUUUGCUGCAGAGGCUUGAAGGAGAAUGCUUACAGGUUUAUCUUCAGUACCCAAAUAAAAUCUGGAUGGAUCUGGCUUGCCAAGCAAGCUGCCAUGCGUUCUACAGCUGCAAGGAAAUUACUUCUGUCAACAACCCAAGGGAGCUUGGCAAUAGAAAUCUUUCCGUGUUGAGUUCACUGAUGAGACAAAGCCCAGGUCAACAUCAUGAUUUCAGCUCGGUGAGAAGCCCUCAGAGAACUUGCUAAGCUGUGCUUGAACUACUGAUCCACAGAAACUAUGAGAUAAUACAUGGGUGUCUUUUAAAGCCACUGCGUUUGUGGUAAUUUGUUACAAAGCAAUAGAGCACUAAUCCAGACUUGGGCCUAGAUUUUCAAUUUUAUUUUUUAGAAAGUCAAAUGGAGCAAGGCUAUGUGCAUUAGCCCUUCUGGUGGGAGGGGCAGGGCAAUGAGGAUCAAGAAUGCACUUGUCACAUACACAUUUCUGCAGCUAGAUGCCAAUCCAGGCUCUUCUUAUUUGUGAAUAUGUCUCCAUAGGGCUGGAUGGCUAGUAUGGCCUAGUCUCUGAUUCCAAAAUUACCACGUGAUUAGGAAGCCAAUCUUCCUAAUCUUUUCAGUGGAAUAACUGAAAAAUGUCAUCCAUCCAAGUCCAUACUUCCAAAGCAAGGACUAAACUCACAUUAGGUAUGCAUCCAUCUAUUUUCUUUUGAGACAGAGUCUCGCUCUGUUGCCCAGGCUGGAGUGCAGUGGUGUGAUCUUAGCUCACCGCAACAUUGCCUCCCAGGUUCAACUAAUUCUCCUGCCUCAGCCUCCCAA